GGUCUGUAGUGUAGUGAGUAUCACGUUCGCUUCACACGCGCGAAAGGUCUCGGUUCGAUCCCGGACGGAACCA
Molecule: transfer RNA, 73 nt
Filed under: Trichonephila inaurata madagascariensis
Lineage: Eukaryota; Metazoa; Arthropoda; Arachnida; Araneae; Nephilidae
Description: tRNA-Val
Rfam family: tRNA
About the family: Transfer RNA (tRNA) molecules are approximately 80 nucleotides in length. Their secondary structure includes four short double-helical elements and three loops (D, anti-codon, and T loops).
Source: RNAcentral